Molecule: transfer RNA, 72 nt
Filed under: Ornithorhynchus anatinus (platypus)
Lineage: Eukaryota; Metazoa; Chordata; Mammalia; Monotremata; Ornithorhynchidae
Rfam family: tRNA
About the family: Transfer RNA (tRNA) molecules are approximately 80 nucleotides in length. Their secondary structure includes four short double-helical elements and three loops (D, anti-codon, and T loops). Further hydrogen bonds mediate the characteristic L-shaped molecular structure. tRNAs have two regions of fundamental functional importance: the anti-codon, which is responsible for specific mRNA codon recognition, and the 3' end, to which the tRNAs corresponding amino acid is attached (by aminoacyl-tRNA synthetases). tRNAs cope with the degeneracy of the genetic code in two manners: having more than one tRNA (with a specific anti-codon) for a particular amino acid; and 'wobble' base-pairing, i.e. permitting non-standard base-pairing at the 3rd anti-codon position.
Source: Rfam by way of RNAcentral
AGCAGCGUGGCUCAGUGGAAAGAGCCUGGGCUUCAGAGUCAGAGGUCAUGUGUUCGACUCCCAUCUCUGCCA